This 77-nucleotide transfer RNA is filed under the name Kaistia sp. 32K. Its description in RNAcentral is "tRNA-Asp". It matches the Rfam family "tRNA". Rfam says of the family: Transfer RNA (tRNA) molecules are approximately 80 nucleotides in length. Their secondary structure includes four short double-helical elements and three loops (D, anti-codon, and T loops). Further hydrogen bonds mediate the characteristic L-shaped molecular structure. tRNAs have two regions of fundamental functional importance: the anti-codon, which is responsible for specific mRNA codon recognition, and the 3' end, to which the tRNAs corresponding amino acid is attached (by aminoacyl-tRNA synthetases). tRNAs cope with the degeneracy of the genetic code in two manners: having more than one tRNA (with a specific anti-codon) for a particular amino acid; and 'wobble' base-pairing, i.e. permitting non-standard base-pairing at the 3rd anti-codon position. Lineage: Bacteria; Pseudomonadati; Pseudomonadota; Alphaproteobacteria; Hyphomicrobiales; Kaistiaceae. The record is from RNAcentral.
GACGCUGUAGCUCAGCUGGUUAGAGCACCUGCCUGUCACGCAGGGGGUCACGGGUUCGAGUCCCGUCAGUGUCGCCA